UCCCGCUUUCUCUCUCCCUCUACCUCCCUCUCCCAUUCUCUCGCCCUCUCUCUCCCCCUCUCCCCCUCGCUCCCUCACCUUCUCUCCCUCUCACCCUCUCUCUCUAUUUCUUUCUCUCUCACCCUCUCUUGCUCAACCCCCCACCCGCCCCUCGCCCCUCUCUCUCCAUGUUCCCUUCUGACUGGUCCAUAUGCUUGGGCUCUCAGGCUUAAUCUGAUCCGGUGGUGGCCGGUCUGCACGUGUACAUCGCUCCUGUCUUUAUCUAUGGGCUGUUUAUGACUAAGUGACAUUAAGGGCUGAGACUUGAACCCAAAGGAGGAGGACAAAAUGAAGGGCAGAAUGCGUAACUCUGCUUCUCUCGACCACAGCGGGGUGGCCCGGUCGGACAGCAAGAUCAGCGCCAAGGCCCUCUACGAACAGCGGAAGAAAUACUCCAACUCCAAUGUGAUCAUGCAGGAGACGUCGCAGUAUCACGUUGAGCAUCUCUCCACCUUCAUGAUGGACAAGUCGGAGUCCAUCGCCACCGUGGACGACGCCAUCAAGAAGCUGGUCCUCCUGGACUCCAAGGACAAGAUCUGGACCCAGGAGAUGCUGCUUCAGGUCACAGACAAAGCGGUGCGGCUGCUGGACUGUGACACACAGGAGGAGCUGGAGAACUUCCCCCUACCCACAGUGCACCACUGUCAGCCUGUGCUGAACCAGACCCGCUACCCGUCGGUGCUGCUACUGGUGUGUCAGGACAAGGACCAGCACAACCCCGACAUCCACUUCUUCCACUGCGACGAGGUGGAGGCAGAGAUGGUUCACGCAGACGUUGACAGCGCCAUCGGGGACAACAAGCAUGGCAAGAAAAUGAGGCUGCAGACAUUAAAGGUAAACCAGGAAAAAAUGAAGCGUCAGAGAGAGACCAUUCUCCCUCCCUCGGGCCCUAAGGGCCCGGCCCCCAGCGCCAAGGGACGAGUGGCCGCCACAAGCAUGCAGACUGCAGACCAGCGAGGCUCAGGCCACGAGUCUCAUGAGAAGCUGGCCCAGCGUAUAGAGAAGGACGUGCAAAUCCUUAACUGUGCCCUGGACGACAUUGAGUUGCUGGUGGCGCGCUUGCAGAAGGCUGCGGAGGCCUUCUCCCAGCUCAACCAGCGCAACAAGAGUAAGAAGAAUAAGAAGAAAGGACCAGCAGAGGGCAUGCUGACCCUCAGGGCCAAGCCCCCCACCGAAGCCGACCUUGUUGAUAGUCUACAGAAACUGAAGCUGGCAUUGAACCUCUUGGCCAAGCUGAAGAAGCACAUCCAGAAUCCCAGUGCGUCUGAACUGGUUCACUUCCUCUUCGGGCCGCUGGAGCUGGUGCUCCAGAGCUGUGGUAGUCCAGACCUGGCCCGCUCCAUCAUUGCGCCCCACUUGUGCCGGGACACAGUGGACUUCCUGCGGGGGAACCUCUCCCCUAAGGAGAUGACCAUCUUUGAGCUGCUGGGCGAGGGAUGGACGAGGCCCAGAGCAGACUGGCCGAGGGACCAGUGUGCCCCCCCUUACUACCCCAAAUUCCGGAAUGGAUGGGAACCCCCCGCGGAGCACUUCAAGGUGUCGCCAUGGGAGACAGAGGGACCCACGGGGCCACCUAUGUCCCCCACCACCCCGGACUACAAGAAGCAGUCCUCUGGGGAGUUUUACGGAACUCAUUCGUCCAAUUCAUCAAAUGGGUCUUAUAAUGGGAUGCCACCCACCCGCAGAUACGCCAAGAUCCGCUACCACUUUGUCGCUCGCAACGCCAAUGAGCUGUCAGUGCUGCAGGACGAGGUGCUCGAGGUGAUCGAGGACGACAAGCAGUGGUGGAAGUUGCGGAACCGAAGUGGGCAGUCCGGCUACGUCCCCUACAACAUCCUGGACGUGGUGAAGCUGGAGGACCCACAGGCCAUGCAAGACACCUUCCAGCCCGGUCAGGGCUACAGAGGGCCAGCCCCUACAAGUCCCAUGGGCCCUGGGGGGGACAGUUUCGGCGUUGCAAGACACAAAGACAAGGUGAUAUCGCACCAGAUGGAUGAGGUCAACGAUGAGCUGCUGAAGAGAAUCACCACAAACAAGAGCCAGCCGCCCGCCAGGAACUUCCGCGUGGAGCGCUCCGGCGGGAGCAGCAUCCCGCUGACCUUCGACUCCAGCCCCCAGCAGGUCACCGCAUGGCUCACCGCAAAGUUCAGCAAACCGACGGUGGAGUGCCUGGGCAUCCUGACCGGGGCGCAGCUGUUCUCCCUGAACAAGGAGGAGCUGAAGGCCGUGUGCGGGGACGAGGGAGCCCGGGUCUACAGUCAGAUCACUGUGCAGAGGGCACAGCUGGAGAAAAGCACUGGGGACUCAGAACUUGAGGAGAUCAUGAAGAGAAGGCAGGAGAAGAUUGGCUCCACCAGUGAGGACUGAACCCACCCACUUCACCAGUAGCCAAUAACAGCCCUGCACGGCUGAUCAGUUUCACCAGUCCAAUCUAUUCAGAGCUUACCAUUUAAGCAAAACUAUUUACAUGUCUUCACAAAGACACACCCUACAGUAGAAUAUACCGAAUUGGUGUUGUACAAAUUGUAAUUGAAUAUUUAUUUUGUAUCACUGAUAAAUAUAAGUUUUCAAUUGUUUUCUUAUGUUCUUGCCUUUUUCUUCCUACCUUAUAAGUGUGUACUGUUGCUUGAAGAAGUGUGUGUUGUAUAAAAUAGAGAACACAACGCGAUUGACUGAUUGUUGAAUGUGUGUGUGUGUGUGUGUGUGUGUGUGUGUGUGUGUGUGUGUGUGUGUGUGUGUAAUUGUAAUUGUAGGUGUGGCGGUGUGUGUGUGUGUGUGUGUGUGUGCAUGAAAUUAAUGAAAUAUAUGUGGGCAAGAGACAUUUGCGCAUACACAGAAUAAUAAUUAGCAAUGGUGUUUACUAAAUAACAUGUAAUUAUUAACCAAUCAUUGCAUAACCAAAAUCCCUGUGCCAGAAUCUAUUACAUACCAUACAAUUCCAAUAUAUUUUGAUUGAUCAUUGCUUUCAUGUGAUUACUGUUUACAGACAUAAUUUUAUAGCAAAACAUGUUAAAGUUAUGUGUCAUUCUAGGUUGAAAGCAAUAUAUUCAUAUGUCAUGUGAUAUUUGCUACAUUAGUGAAAUAAUUAGGGUGCAUAUCCUACUGGUAAAUUUCUAUUUUCCUUACAUCUGUUUCUGAACCUUUCAGAAUCAGGCAUAACAGGGGCUCUUAAAGGCAAGUCGUUUUAGAAGGGAAAUUGCAUGUCUUGUGGGAGUUAUUAUUGUGCUUUUUUUUGCAGCAUGUGGGGCACUCAUCAUGAAAUACUCAACACAUAAUGUAACAUGAGCUUGAUUCACUGAGAAAAUGUAAUUUUCUUUUCAAAACAAGUGUUAAAUAGGUGUUGGUUCAAAAAGAGGUUAAGCCAAAUAAAGAGGGCUGAUGUAAAUAGGAGGAUAAAAUGAGUUGAAAAAGAAUAUCAUAAUAAAAAUGAAUAAUGCUCAA
This is an RNA transcript of Gadus macrocephalus (Pacific cod), 3480 nucleotides long. It is a transcript of the gene named EPS8 like 2, with no coding region annotated. NCBI's taxonomy places the organism in Eukaryota, Metazoa, Chordata, Actinopteri, Gadiformes, Gadidae. The transcript has 20 exons. The record is from RefSeq and is a predicted model, not a curated record.